RNAcentral lists this ribosomal RNA (479 nucleotides) under uncultured bacterium. Its description in RNAcentral is "partial 16S ribosomal RNA". It matches the Rfam family "Bacterial small subunit ribosomal RNA", at positions 28 to 507 of the family's 1533-position model. The record is from RNAcentral.
GACGAACGCUGGCGGCGCGCUUAACACAUGCAAGUCGAGCGAUGAAAUUUCGACAGAUCCCUUCGGGGUGAAGAUGAAAUGGAUUAGCGGCGGACGGGUGAGUAACACGUGAGUAACCUGCCUUUGACAUUGGGAUAGCCUCGGGAAACUGGGAUUAAUACCAAAUGACACUAACUGAUCACAUGAUCAAUUAGUCAAAGAAAUUCGGUCAAAGAUGGACUCGCGGCUGAUUAGCUAGUUGGUGAGGUAACGGCCCACCAAGGCGACGAUCAGUAGCCGGCCUGAGAGGGUGAUCGGCCACAUUGGAACUGAGACACGGUCCAAACUCCUACGGGAGGCAGCAGUGGGGAAUAUUGCACAAUGGGGGAAACCCUGAUGCAGCGACGCCGCGUGAGCGAAGAAGGCCUUCGGGUCGUAAAGCUCUUUUAGGAGGGAAGAUAAUGACGGUACCUCAAGAAAAAGCCCCGGCUAACUACGUG